Molecule: long non-coding RNA, 404 nt
Filed under: Numida meleagris (helmeted guineafowl)
Lineage: Eukaryota; Metazoa; Chordata; Aves; Galliformes; Numididae
Description: lncRNA (ENSNMEG00000007648.1)
Source: RNAcentral
UGUUUCUUCUGUCCUUUUGGAAUUUUCAGGGCUGGAGAAGAGAGAUCUGUGUCUCUGUGUGUUUUGACUGUCCUCAGAAACUGGAGCAACCAGCUCCAAGUGCCAGUGCAAAAAUAACUUGACGGUCAAGUUCCUAAGCAUAAGAGCACCUGAUAUUAAUUACGAGCGCUGAAAUGAAUGCCUGUCAUUUGAGCACAGAGGUUCAGCAUUGCUCUCUUGUCCCUUUUAACAAAAGCCUCAAGAGGUGGGACAGCUUCCGUGAUUUGCCUGGACUUGUGUUUUUCCCACAAAGGAAACAAAAAAGAACAUUGUUUAUAUUGGCUAAGAUCAAAAAAAUGGCUAGAACAUGUCUUGGAAAGCUCCAAAUUUCAUGUUAAAAAUAAAACAAACAAACAAAACCUCCA